This 219-nucleotide unclassified non-coding RNA is filed under the name soil metagenome. RNAcentral's name for it is "partial contains 5.8S ribosomal RNA, internal transcribed spacer 2, and large subunit ribosomal RNA". The record is from RNAcentral.
AACAUCGCGCACCUGCGGGAACCUGCGGAAGGAUCAUUACAGAGUUGCAAGACUCCCUAAACCAUUGUGAACCUACCUUCUACCGUUGCUUCGGCGGGCGGGCCCAGCGCCCCCCCCGGCCCCCCGCGGGCGCCCGCCGGAGGAUACCCAAACUCUUGACAUUAGUGGCCUCUCUGAGUAUUCUUUACUGAAUAAGUCAAAACUUUCAGCAAUGGAUCU